This 313-nucleotide long non-coding RNA is filed under the name Eucalyptus grandis. Its description in RNAcentral is "long non-coding RNA (EGRA_LNC007501)". The record is from RNAcentral. Lineage: Eukaryota; Viridiplantae; Streptophyta; Magnoliopsida; Myrtales; Myrtaceae.
AAAAUAUAACUAAUGUAGGAGAGUUAAGGUAGAGCGCUUGAGAGGGGAGAGAGGAGAGAGAGAAAGGAGGAACUUCAAGUUUUCUCCCAAUUGGUGGUUCGAAAAAUUUCCGAAAAGCCACAAAAAGUCGACUUCUUGUCUUAGAAAAUUCCGGAAAAAAAAAAAUCCCGAAGAAAGCGUUAGACACUGGGUGAGCAGUUAGCACGGUUCCCGGUUCUAAAGUUCUAAAGUUCUGGUUCCGUUCCUUUUUCUUGGAACCGGAACCGGAACCGGAAGGGAGCUGGUUAGAGUUUUAAAAAAAAAACAAAAAACG